GCACGUGGAGUUUUGAUCUCUGCGGGGCAGGUUCGAGGCCUGUUUUUUUAGGAG
Molecule: transfer RNA, 54 nt
Filed under: Thorius munificus
Lineage: Eukaryota; Metazoa; Chordata; Amphibia; Caudata; Plethodontidae
Description: partial tRNA-Gln
Source: RNAcentral